RNAcentral lists this long non-coding RNA (2261 nucleotides) under Homo sapiens (human). RNAcentral's name for it is "HSALNT0188862". The record is from RNAcentral. Lineage: Eukaryota; Metazoa; Chordata; Mammalia; Primates; Hominidae.
CUCCCAGCUGCCUCCUAUAAGGAAGCUUUAUUAGCCUGCAGCCUGUACUCCUCCACGCAGCAGAGCUGACAGGACCCCAUUAGUCAGCUUAUUCAACCCUUCCCCUGGUGCACAAACCCUUGCCAAGCUUUUCUGGCAUUUUGCUCAGCCUGCUUGGACCCUCCAAGCAGGUAGGAACUCACUGUUUCACAAAGCAGUGUUAUUAGAAAGGUUUCCCUGACCCUAGCCCCCCACAUCUAAUCUUUCUCAAAUGUGGGCAGACUUGUUCCUGGCCCCUUCUCAUUCCACCAGUGCACACAUGCACAUGCUCCCUCUCUCCAUCCAAGCUCCAGGAAUCAACCUCUACCCUGAACCAGGUCCCUGAGGACCACCACGUGGCUGCAACACAGCAGGUGUGGGGCAGGGCACAAGUGGGCUUAAGGGGGGUAUAAGGGCUGGCAGUUUGCUCAUUGAUUCACUCAACAAACAUGUACUGAGCACCUCUAAAGGGCCAGGGCCUGUGCUAGGCACUGCGGUGCCAUGGUGAGCAAAUCCAGAAAUGGACCCUGCCCUCUAGGAGUUCACAGUCCAGAGGAGAAGCCCGAUGCUGAACAGAGAAUCACAUCCGUGAGCAACACAAAAGGCAAGGCAAACCCUGGGCAGAUGCCCCCGGGACUGUGUGUUAUGGGCCUACAGGAAGCCUCUCCCAAUGAAAAAGCAAUUUUUCAGCCAGAACCUCCACCAGUGUCUUUCAAACUGAGCCUGGACCUGUGGCCUUCCCUGCCUCCACCUGGGCCUCAACCGUCACGACCACCUGGCCUUUGAGUUUCCUCCUUUGUAAAAUAGGUCUCAUAGAACUCAUCCCCAAAAGUCCUUGUGAAGAUUUAGUUUGUAAGCCAGAUGUCUGCAGACCUCCAGUAAAAGAAUAUGUUUUUGGUAUUAAAAUCAAAUGGCUCACGCUGUGUCUCAGAGCUGCAACGAUCCAACGCCCUCCAUCCUUCAGAGGCUGUCUGAGUCCGGGGACACAACUCCCACCCUCCUCUCCUGCCAGCCGCGGCCCGUGGCUGCUCUCUUCACUUCGUCCCGCUUCGCCCCGACUGUGGAUCUACCCGCUCCCUUCUCCCUCAGUCCCCAAAGCACCAGACUCACAGGCCUGCUGUGUGACCCACUUUUACCGACCUUUCGGGGAGAGUAGAGGGCAUUUGUGACUCAGCUCAGAGCAGGAAACACAUCUCACGUCAACUGUCAGACAGCGCUGCUCCGAAUCCCAUCACAGUGCUCCAGCAGGGGGCGUCCUCACCGGCCGCGGCCACAGCCACGGCUCAACCCGGCCUAGCUCCCAGACACCCUCCUUCCACCGCCUGUUUUCCACCGUCCCCGCCUGCUCUUUCAAGCCAGCAGCAAACAACACCCUAAUCCGUGUCUUUAUUAUUCAAAGACCUUAAGCACUCUUUCCCACCUCGUUCCCAUCUUGAUUAUUUCAGGGAAUGAAUUAGGGAUUCACCUUUACAAUCAAAAAAGUUCUCUCAAAGCCAGGCUACUGGAGUUCUAAUUCUGCCUUCCCACUUUUACUAGCUGUGAAAUCUCAGGAAAGUUACUUAACCUCUCUCUGUCUCAUUUUCCUCAUCUUUAAAAAACAGGAUGAUAAUAUUUAGCUCCUAAGAUGGUUGUGAGGAUUUAAGUGAGCUGAUAUAUCCAAGAAUGUCUAGAACAGCGCGUGGCAGAAUGGGCAUUGCAUAUGGGUUUAAUCUUGUAACUGCCAUGUUUCACCAAUUCUAAGGUGUAUCUCGUUUCUCAUCAUAAGAGCUCUUCCGCUCGUGUGGCAGCUGGGAGUGGCCGUCAUUGCCUGCGCAUACCUAAACUUGGUCAGGGCAGAAUGAUUGCUAGUCACACGUGAAGCAAGAAAACCCCGGCAAUAAAGCUUGCAGAAUGAGUGGCUGAGGCUUGAAAAUAAAUGGUGGAAACAAUAGUGGACAAUCUUUUAAAGAAUGGCACAUUGCCAAUGCUCCUGAUGGCACAGAAGGUGACACCAUGCAGAAAAUCAAGGCUCUGAGUCAAAGAGGGUUUCAGAAAAAUUGGACUCUGAAUGUGAAGAAAUCUGGGGACUAUUUUAGCCAAUUUGUUUUGCCUAUAAUUUCCUUUUAUGCAUGCAAAAGAGCAAUUCUGACUUUAAAGACUGAUAUCUAAAUAAAUCUAAAAUAUCUUUUUUGUGUGUGUGUCUGUGAUACAGUGUCUCGCCCUUUCACCCAGGCUGGAGUGCAGUAGUGCAAUCUCAGCUCACU